AACUGGAUAGCUUAAAUUAAGAGCAUUACAUUGAAGAUGUAGGGGUGGUAAGAUAUACUUUUAGUUA
RNAcentral lists this transfer RNA (67 nucleotides) under Orophyllus montanus. RNAcentral describes it as "tRNA-Phe". It matches the Rfam family "tRNA". From Rfam's summary of the family: Transfer RNA (tRNA) molecules are approximately 80 nucleotides in length. Their secondary structure includes four short double-helical elements and three loops (D, anti-codon, and T loops). Lineage: Eukaryota; Metazoa; Arthropoda; Insecta; Orthoptera; Tettigoniidae. The record is from RNAcentral.